Non-coding RNA from Camellia sinensis, 2970 nucleotides. NCBI's taxonomy places the organism in Eukaryota, Viridiplantae, Streptophyta, Magnoliopsida, Ericales, Theaceae. The record is from RefSeq and is a predicted model, not a curated record.
AAAAAAUUUACAAUCCCAUUAUAUUUUUUUAUAGAUUCUAACAUACUUUUACGUAUCUUAAUACAUUUUUUACAUAUUUUUUAACCACUAACAAAAGUCCUAUAAGACUAGUUUUAGCAUUUUUCAUAUAUAAGAAUAAUAAAUUUACAAAUGAGUCUAUGAUGAAAGCAAAAGAAAUCUCAUCGCACAUGGUUGAUUAUUGAUGGUGGUAGGUUAGACCCACCUUUCUACUAGUCAAUUUUUGUGAAGUAACGCAACCCAUUCACUUUGUCCAUUUCUUGCCUUCUUUUCUUAUUAGCUCUCGUAAAGAAAUUUCAAGAAGUGUCCAAGAAAUGGGCUAGGUAUACAAGGUUAAAAUGGAUUGAAGUUUAUUUGAAAUCCAUGCUUUUGAAAAAGGUUACAUCUUGGGGUGGAAUGAACCCAAUCCAAGAAAGCUCAAUUUGAAUCAUGACCAAAGUUGGCUUUUAUGACUCAACGUGUCAACACUCUGCCUCUUGCGAUUUUGUAAAAUUGUUUGCCUUCAAACCUCUCUCAAGACAAAUAUCAUGAAAUUGUCUUGGUAGUAAGGUGUUUUCUUACCACAUGGGUCAUGUUUGGAUUCGAAUCUCAUUGUUACAUACAAAAAACUAUCAUGUAAUCAUUUGUCCAUUAAAUAAUAAGAAAACACAUGAUCAUUUUGUCUGAAAAAUAAAAGACAAAGUGAUCAUGUGUCCCCUUACUAUUAAAAGAAAGUUAUAAAUUACACCUAUUAGAUAAUUUCUCUACUGUCGUGGCUUCUUUUUUUCCUACUCCCCCUCAUGUCGAUUGUAAAUUAAAAUAUAAAAAAUAAACAAAUGAACUCCCGGAAUAUCUCCUAAGAAUAGAUAAUUUUUAAUAUGAGUGUAAGACUCACAAAACAUAAAACAUACUUCAUAUGCUUAUGUCUCCUUUAUGGAGUAACUGAAAAAAAAAGAGUUGAAAACAAUGAAGCCAAGCAAAAAGCAUCCAAAAACUAAUGGACAAGGCAAAUCAGAGUCUUCUUCAUCAUUAAUACCUCCAAUAACACAACAUCCAUGAGAAGACUUUCUCUUUCUCAAGAACCCACCAUACCUAUAGAGCUUAGAAACGAGGAGGAGGAGAAGGAGGUCUUUGACAACCACGCCCUCCUGAAGGAGAAGAUGGAGGUAUCUGGCAUACUCAAAAAGGCCUUAAAAAUCUCAAACCAAAACACCAAUUUCACAAUCUUCAUCUUCUUAACCUCUCUCCCACUUCUCAUCACCAUGGUUUUCAAUGAAGUAAUCUUUCAAAGAACACUUGUUGAAGCCUCAAAAAUGCUAUUCAGCCUUCGCAGCUGUUUUUGCAGCAGUGCUAGGAAAGUACUUGGAAGUGUGUGCACUGUGCAACAUGCGUAUGGUGAUUUCUGUUUUGGAAAGGAUUAAUUGGGCCGAAGCAAUUGCACUCUCAGAUUACUUCAGAAGAGACAGCAAGAGACAUGGACUCUUUUUUUAUGCUUGCUUUCUUUGUUUGGGGAUUUGGGUUACGGUCACUAUGCCUUGUUUCUGGCUGCUCCAAGAGUGUGGGACGGGUGGUUGUGCCGGUGAGCUUGCUUUGGAUGGGGAAAUGUGGGGAAAUGUGAUCAAGCAGGCGUCUAUCAUGAUUUACUUUUAUGAUAGCAAAGAGCAGACUCUGGAGGUCGGUGGAGAGGAGGUUGUCGAUGCAGGGGCAAUGGUUCGGGAUAGAAGUAGUUCACAAGAGAUGAUUGAUGAGAAAACAAAACCAGAAGCCUUAAAGGCUCAUAGACUAUAGUGUUGCUUCAGUGUGACUUAGAUCAUUAUAUCUUGAGAAGCAGAUGUCUAAAAAGAUCAAUGCGAGAGUCAAAUUAUGUCUAAAGUUAGUGGUGUCAAAUGCUAACCUUGAUCUAUCGCUAAGUUCUACAAGUUUAUAAUUUUUUGUAAUUUACUACAUUUGUUAUAUAUAACAAUUUCAAUUUUUUGAUCCAUCUGCGAGUUCUAUAAAUUUACAAUUUUUUGUAAUUUAUUGUUUCUGUUAUAUAUAAACAAUUUCAAUUUUCCAAACCAAUAUGCAUCUCAAAUUUUGAUCACCUUCUGAGUACGUCGCAUUGUUUCUCUUUCCUCUUUUCGGCAGAAAUUGUUCAUGAUCUUCGAACUUUUCUUUGUGCCAAUCUUUGCAUGUCAAUAUCUAAUGACUGACUCAUUUGUGAUGCUUUUGGUGCAAAGGACAGUAAUCUCAAGUCUCUUAUUGAAGGAAAAGUAGAGGGGGCAACAAGAAAAGUUAGAGAGAUCCUCCAUGCCCUACAUUCUAGGUCAAAAGUAUACUUUCACUUUGCAUGCCCUAAAUUAGUUUGGUGCAUUGCACAUGACAAUAGUUUGCAUGCAUAAUUCACUAAAAGCCCCACCCAAAAAGACAGAUCCUCUUUAUGCCCAACUAGUAUGGGUCAAACUCCAUCUGACAAACACCUUUCAAUUUCACCCCACCCACUCUUAGCAUGGUGCAUUACACGACACUAGUUUGGUACACUGCUAAAAGAAUAUAAUAAUAAUAAUAAUAAUAAUAAUAUAUUAAGGGUUCAUUUCACUUUUAUCCAUUAAUCUAUCACCAUUUUUUCUAUUUCACUUCUAUUUCAGCCACAAACUAUCAAUUUCAUCUAUUUAAUUAUUAAAAUUUCUAAUUUCAGUUCAUGUAAUCCAAUUAGAAACGAUUAGUAAUCGUUAAAACCUAAUUUAAUGAUAAAAAACAUCUGUCCAAAAUUUGAACAAUUUAACCAAAGCAAACACCCAUCAAAUUGAUUUGUGGGGUGUAGUUUGUUCAAAAUAUUUAAAAAAAAAAGUCUGUAUGUUUGGUUGUCUUUUCUUACCAAUCAAAUCAAACUUCAACUAUUAUUAUUUUGUUUGUCUCUAAUGAACCACAUGAACUGAAAUAAGAAACUCUAGAGACAAUAAACAAAAUUCAUAGUUUAAGAACGAAAAAAAA